CUUGCAUAUUAAUUGAUUGCUGUAGAAGAACAUGCAGUAUUUUGAACGUGUGAGGAAACAUUUUAGGGCUUGAAGUGUACAUUUUGUCCCACAGAAAAGUGGAGGAUCUGCAGUUCCGUGUAGAGGAAGCUUGCAUUACCAAAGGUGACCUAGAGACGCAGACCAAACUGGAGCAUGCCCACAUUAAGGAGCUCGAACAAAGUCUUCUCUUUGAAAAGACCAAAGCAGACAAACUCCAGAGGGAGUUAGAGGAUACUAGGGUGGCCACGGUGUCCGAGCGCUCCAGAAUCAUGGAGCUGGAAAAGGAAGUGUCCGACCUGCAUCUUCAGCUGAGAACUCUCCGGGCCGAGACCGCGGGAUCAGCCUCACCUCCAUUACAAGACAAAAAGAUCAAGGAGUUGAACUUUGAGUUAGAGGAUAGACAGAAGGAAGUUCUCCUAUUCCAGCAGAAACUUGCCUCCUCUGAACAGGAUAGAACAUGCCUCCAGCAGCAGCUGCAAGAUCUGAAACAGAAACUCGACACAGCAGCAGAGGACAAUAAUAAAGCAACACUAGCCAUGCAAGCAUGAACCGCUUUGCGCCAUCGUUUUU
This 591-nucleotide long non-coding RNA is filed under the name Sinocyclocheilus grahami. RNAcentral's name for it is "lncRNA (ENSSGRG00000010437.1)". The record is from RNAcentral. Lineage: Eukaryota; Metazoa; Chordata; Actinopteri; Cypriniformes; Cyprinidae.